Leopardus geoffroyi (Geoffroy's cat) is the source of this 968-nucleotide long non-coding RNA. RefSeq lists it as uncharacterized. NCBI's taxonomy places the organism in Eukaryota, Metazoa, Chordata, Mammalia, Carnivora, Felidae. The record is from RefSeq and is a predicted model, not a curated record. The transcript has 3 exons.
UCUAUUUUUAAACUUCACUUGAUAUAUUUUAUGGACCCCGGGUGUCCAGUAAACUAAAGCAGGCAUUUAGGAUUGGCACCAAGAUGUCAAAGAAAAAUCAGUCCCGUCCUCAGAUUGGAGAAAAGAGACACAGGCUGAGACGCAAGGCAGGUGGGAAGGAGAGCUGAUGAGGGAGCAAAAGGGAAACGGAAGGCAGAGCACAAGCUAACACCGUACACCGCCUCCUCUGGAGGGGGAUCUGUGUGACAUUCCUCAGGCGCCCCUGAUGCCCAAAAACAAAGGGAAGGGAAAAACAAAUGGUUAACUGCUAGAGAUCACAGUCAUGCGGGCCACGGGACAUGACUCUUCAUCAGUUUGCAACUGUCUUAGUAAUUUACAAGAAAAACGCCAUCCCCAGAAACCUGUAGACUCACUUCCCUGGGACCCCCACCUCCAUGGGAAAGAAAAUCUUAUGUAAUCAGUCACUCCUCACAAUCCUAGGGCAGCUCUUUUCUGUCCCCAGGUCCUGUCCCUGUGCUAUAAUAAAAUCACCUUUUUGCACCAAAAACGUCUCAAGAAUUCUUUCUUGGCCGUUGUCUCCGGAACCCCCGCCUCCAGACAUGCCGGAAUGAGCUCUGAGGACUGAGAGCCCUGCCUGUGCACUGCAGUGAAGAGACGCCUGACUCCUAGAUUAGCACGGGAGGGACCCUUUUCACUUGUCCAGAGACGCUCAGGGAAGAAGGGAAUUGGGAGGAAAGGUCUUUGGAGUUUCCCGCUUGUCUACGUCCAGCUGCCUGAUGAGUCUUUCCUUCCCUGGGAGUCGGGAGAAGCAGGCUGGCCAUACAGGUACAAAAGCGCAGCGUGAGUCUGGUUUGUGCAGUGCAAACAAGGAAGAGGGUUCUCACCUGGAACCCAAUCAGCCCAGCUUCUUGAUCUUGGAUUUCUCAGCCUCCAGAAGUGUGAAAAAUAAAUGUUUUUCGUUUAAGUCA